RNAcentral lists this ribosomal RNA (253 nucleotides) under uncultured bacterium. Its description in RNAcentral is "partial 16S ribosomal RNA". It matches the Rfam family "Bacterial small subunit ribosomal RNA", at positions 524 to 776 of the family's 1533-position model. The record is from RNAcentral.
UACGAAGGGGGCGAGCGUUGUUCGGAUUUACUGGGCGUAAAGGGCGCGCAGGCGGCUUUGCAAGACAGAUGUGAAAUCCCCGGGCUUAACCUGGGAACUGCAUUUGUGACUGCAUGGCUGGAGUGCGGCAGAGGGGGAUGGAAUUCCGCGUGUAGCAGUGAAAUGCGUAGAUAUGCGGAGGAACACCGAUGGCGAAGGCAAUCCCCUGGGCCUGCACUGACGCUCAUGCACGAAAGCGUGGGGAGCAAACAGG